Molecule: long non-coding RNA, 2585 nt
Organism: Bactrocera neohumeralis
Lineage: Eukaryota; Metazoa; Arthropoda; Insecta; Diptera; Tephritidae
Exons: 3
Source: RefSeq, a predicted model, not a curated record
UCACAAAAAAUGUCUCUAAUUAAAAAUCUCAAUUUUAGAGACUUGUGACUGUAAAACUCCAUUCGCUUUCAAACAAAAAUCCAAAAUUCGAUUGGCACAUAUGUUAUAGAAUAUUAGGUAUUCCCAAAACAAAUUUACGCUUAGUAAUAGAAUAAACCGCCAAAAUGAUAUAUUUACACAUAAAUAUACUUAUUUCCAUAAAACAAAUAUAUAUAAAAAGCACCUACAAAUAUGUGCCAAUUACAUUUAAAACUUUUUUUCAAAAGAAUAGCUUAAGCACGACAGUCUGGUUUUCUCUGGUAUAAAUUUAGUCAAACGGAUGUUUGAAUCUCUCAAUAUUAGUUUUAUUCGAAUUUAGGAAGUUAAAAAUAGGAGUUGUGGUUCACAUAUUGGGUAUCUGGGGGCUUGAAUAGUUCUGGUCAGAUUAGAACAACUUCUGAUCAAAGGGACUACUCGGGCAAAGUGUCAUCCGGGUACAUUGCUUUGUUCUCGACAUGUACGUUAGUACGGUCAGCAAUCACGCCGUAAAUUUAGCAAUGUAAGCUAAAAUAUAUUUUGUACUACCUUUAGCCGUAGUAAUGUAAGCAAAAAUAUGUUACCUAAUAUUUUAUUUAGCUAUAUAAGCAAAAUUAUAACAUAAUAUAAAAGCUGAAUUCAAUAAAUCUAUCGGGCUCAGUUCAAGUUGUCUUUGCUCUUCAUCAGCGACUGCGACCGGUAACCGGCGCCCAACUGAGUGAUUUUUAUCAAAAAUAUAAAAAAUCUUUGCAAAAAAACCCUAAAAUGGUUUAAAAAAAUAAUAAUAAUCCUCCGGUGUGGCGCGAGAACCAAACCAAAGGAAUUCACCAGAAGCAGCCUGCACAAGAUAAGACGACAAGUGACGCCAUCUGUACUACGAGUAGGAGUCUGAAACAUCCAAAAUAGAUCAACCAGAACGUCCCAUGCUGUUCCUCAUUUAUUUAUAAAAGUACUGUAGAUACGAGCAUCCGCGCUAAAAUUAAAACAACAACGGACGAUCCUAUAUAUUGUAAAUCAUGCCCUUAUCCAGCAAACCUUAGAGAAGUGGUGGAAAAACAAAUGAAAUGUUAAGAGAUGAAAUUAUUAGUCCUUCUCUCUUGUGGAUAGUGCUAAAAAAACAGGCGCAUCUCGGAAAAAAAUGCAUAUCCGAUCCCGGAUAUAAAUAACAUUUUAGCAAGAUUAGGCGAGUGUAAACACUUUAACAUCUGGAUUUCACCAGAUCAAGAUGAAAGAAAAAGAUAUAGAGAAGACAGCAUUUUCAACAGCUAAGGGUAAAUAUGAAUUCACCAGGCUGCCUUUUGGGUCUAAAUAUGCGCCAUCUAUUUUUCAAACGAUGCUUAAUGAUGUUUUGAAACCUUUAAUUGGUAAAAGCUGAUAUGUCUAUAUCGACCACAUCAUUAUUGUAGGAAAUGAAAAAGAAGAACAUUUAAAACAGUUAGACGUUCUAUUUGCAUUGAUGGGCUAUUUUUGGGUUAUGUUGUUACACAGGGUGCAAUCCUGCCCGAUCCUGAAAAAAAUUUCUUCUUUAAAAGGGAUAUUACCGAUUAAAAACUUGAAAUAACUAAAAAGAUUUCUAGGAUUACAGGAAAUUACGCUCAGACAAAAGCAAAUCAACCAAAAAAGUUGAAUAGCCUUUGGAGCUGUUCUUCCACAAGGAGAAAUUGGCAAAGAUAAACCAAUUACUUAUUCUCAAGAUCUUUUAACAAAACAGAAGAGAAUUAUUCCACUAUUGAAAAGUAAAUGCUUGCUAUCAAAUGGGCAGUUGAUAAACUUAGGACUUAUUUUUACGCAUCAAAGGAAAUAAAAAUUGGCUAAAUGAGUCUCAGACCGCCCCCCUCACAAAAUUACACUCACACACCACACACAUUACAUACACCACGUCAUCAUUCCACACCAUGCGCACACAAAUACCACCACAUCACGAAUCUGACAUACAUGAGGACACCAUACAAAAAAGAACAAAAGGGACCGACGGACAGGGCACAUCGCAUACGUUUCUCCGUGCCCCCUUUUAAUUUCGAUUUUCUUUCCGCAUUUUUUAAUACUCGUAUUACAAGGUGAGUGCCACGAAAACGACACACAAAAUGGACAAAAAAAAGUGAGGUGUCAAAUGUGGAAAAUAGCAUCAAAAAUACAUAAAGUUGGAAAAACAAAAAAAAAAGUUAAGUGUGGCUAAAUGAGCCUUAGUCGCCUGCCCCACAUCACACCUACACCCUUCACUAACAUGCACACUCACCUCGACAUCACCACACUCCACAUCAACACCACCCACAUGCGAGAGCCAGGAUCCACACACUCCAACACUACUCAACAUAAAAAGGGUCAGGCUAUACACAAGUUAGUACAGAUUCGAUCGCCUUGGUAUCAACUUCACUUUCCCGCCACAGCUACGCAGCGUUCCAUCGUGAAAUAGUAAAGCUUAUCCUAAAAUUUUUCCGUAUACUAAGUGAGUUUAAAUACAUUGUCAAAGAAAAAGAAACCCCCACUAAUCGAGUGUUCAACUCCUAUUGUUAAAAAUUAUACUAAGUGAAUUGAUAUUAUAAAAGAAAAAGAAACCUCAACUAAUCGAG